CUGGAAGCGAUGGAGCUGGAGCCUCUGCAGAGCUAAGACGUCCACAUGGCAGCGUGGGAUACGCGUGCAGAACGCGUGACUGUGGAGGAGAAAGGAUUUGCUUCCUCCGUGGGAAAUGCUGGACUCUUUAACCUCAAUAAAAGUGUCCGGGAGGCCAGAAGUGUGAAGUCAAGGUGUCGGCCUGGCCGUGCUCCCUCCGGAGUCUUCAGGGGAGGGUCCUUCCUGCCUCUUCCAGCUCCUGGUGGCUCCUGCAGUCCUUGGCUCACAGCUGCAUCUCCCCAGCCUUGGCCUCCGUCUUCACAUAAUCAUAUUCUCUGAGUUUUCUCCUCUCUUUUCUGUUUUUCUCCUCUGUGUAUCUCAUAAACACACUUGUCAUUGGAUUUAGGGCCCGCCUGGCUAAUCCAGGAUGAUCCCCUUUGGAGAUCCUUAACCUUAUUACAUCUUCAAAAAGCCCCUUUUCAAAAAAGGUCACAUUCACAGUUUCCAGAUAUAAUUUUCUGGACAUGUCUUUCUGGAGGCCACCAUUCUACCCACUACAGAUGGUGACUGUUAGGGGCUGAAUGGUGGCCCUCAAAUUUCAUAUGUUGAAAUCCCCACUCCCAGUACCUCAGAAUGUGGCUCUAUUUGGAGAUAAGGUUUUUAAAGGAUUAAUUAAGUUAAAAUGAGGCUAUAAAGGUGGAACCUUAGCUAAUAUGACUGGCAUCUUUGUUUAAACAGGGAGAGACACUGGGGGGUGUGUGUGCACAGAAAAAUAGCAGGUGAAGACACAGUGAGAGGGCAGCCUUCUACAAGGCAAGGAGAGAGGCCUCGGGAAACUAGCCCCGCUAGCACCCUGACCUUGGACGUCCAGCCUCCAGAACUGUGAGACAAUAAAGUCCUGUUGCCAGGCUUCUGAGGUCCUGGAGACCCACAGCUAGGCUGGGAGCAGGAUGGCUGCUGUGAAGGUGGUAGCUGCGGAAGAAGUGGUGGCAGUGGUCACAGCCCUGGGAGAGAUGAAGGGGUCUACAUGGGCCAGCACUGAGACCUGUCAUGGAGGCCAACAGGAAUCCCCAUCCCUGGAGCCGUCUGCGACUUGCAGGCUGAGUUCUUCCCCUGCGUGGCCUGAAGUGGCCCAGCUGUGAGAAGCCAUUGUGAGGAAUGAUGUUUGUUUAAUAGAGAGUGCGCCAGCAUCGAACUGUCUGCAGGCUGAACCCCUAGGGAGGAGGAGAGGAAAGAAAGCCCGAUGGCUUCAGGCUCAGGUCUUUAAAACUCGUUCUGGGAGAGAACACAUUUGCAGAGCCCCACACUGGGCUCCAGGCUCCUAGAAGCAGCGGGAGCCUGCGUGGGGGCUUUGCAGUUCUUCAUGGAUCGCCGGUUUCAUCUUCUGGGGCCCACCACGCUGACUUGUAUGCAGCUUGCCUGGUGCCGACGGCCUCCAUCCAGCACCCCCUGGACCUGCCUCCGAGUCUGGGUUUGGGGAGCAGAAACAGCAUGAUCUGGGGGACAGGGAUGGUCCCUAGGGGUUGUUAGGCUCCUCUGCCCUCCACCCCACCCACGUAGGCACCAGAUACGAAUGCAAAUGGAGUCACCUCUGGGCCAGCUGUCCUGAUCCUCCUGGGCCCCUGGGGUUUCCCUCCUGACUCUGCUCCCUGGCGGUCUGGGCUGUCUAUGUAGUCCUGCCUGGGAGUCCCAGGCAGGCUGGCGGAGGAGAUGGUGUCAGGGCUGGGCUUGGGAGGAUAGGAGGAAGUUUCCAGGAGUGGAGGGAAGGGGUGGGCAUUUCUGAUGCUAAAAGGGGGUCCCAAGGCCUGGAGUUGCCUGGGGCCUGAGGGUGGCACUGGGAAGUCAAUAGCAGGCUUUUAAAAAUAUUUCUUAUUGUGGUAAAAUACGCA
RNAcentral lists this long non-coding RNA (1868 nucleotides) under Homo sapiens (human). RNAcentral describes it as "HSALNT0406632". Lineage: Eukaryota; Metazoa; Chordata; Mammalia; Primates; Hominidae. The record is from RNAcentral.